Molecule: transfer RNA, 76 nt
Filed under: Allorrhizucha preussi
Lineage: Eukaryota; Metazoa; Arthropoda; Insecta; Odonata; Libellulidae
Description: tRNA-Val
Source: RNAcentral
UUAUAACUGUGCAAUUCAGUUUAAUUUGAUAUUUAAAUUCUUACUUUUAUUAUAAUAGGUGUUUAUAAGAAAUAUC